RNAcentral lists this long non-coding RNA (1372 nucleotides) under Taeniopygia guttata (zebra finch). Its description in RNAcentral is "lncRNA (ENSTGUG00000021269.1)". The record is from RNAcentral. Lineage: Eukaryota; Metazoa; Chordata; Aves; Passeriformes; Estrildidae.
CAGAAGUGGAGAAACCAAAAAGGGUGGGAGAGCGUCUGGGAGACCAGAGGAAAGCAGCCACAAAAGCUCAGAUUUCCAGUAUCACCUUGGGACUUGUGUAACCAAACCCUUCAGCAUCUCCACCACAGAUGUUCCCCAAAGACUAGUGGGUCUGAGAGGACAUUUGGUUAAAAAGAGGUUGAGAGAGAGAACAGAAAUGAGACAACAGGAUGCUGACUUUGCAGGGAGGUUGUGAGACCAGGAGGAUUAUAUUUGGGGUCCCUGAGUUCACACCCCUUGCUCUGGACAAUCAUUUUUCUUUCCCUCAUGCAGCAGUUCCUGGGUCAUCAUAAAGAGGGGGUGUCUCCCUAGCUCUCAGCAGUGUGAAGAGGAGGGAAGCCAGGAAUGAGCACCAGAGCUCUGAGAAACCUCACAGCCCAGCAUUUUCUCCUGUCUGGAAGUGCACUUGCAAAAUCCAAGCCCAGAGAGGGAGGCCACAAGAGCAGAAGCCUUUCAAGAUUACCCCGAGGCUAGUGGGUGAGUAUCUUCCCCCUGCUCUCUCAGCUGGAGGAGCAGGCAAGAUUGAUUCAACCAAGAUACCCGGCAGCACUGGAAAAACUGAGAUCUCAGCAAAGCCAAAGGCGCUUGCUAAGCAUCUCCUAUUAGGAGAGUGCUCUCACACAGCUGCCCCACAGACAGCCAAGACAACGAGGUGCCUCAGCAAUAAACCACUCUUCUCUCCCCCCCAGCCCUCUUGAGUGAGUGCAGUGCAUCCCAGUAGAGCUGCGCUGUGCCACGGCCGAGGUCGCUGCUGCACUCUGCUUUGAUUCACCACAAUGUCCCCUCCCACAUGCUGUUUUCAUUAGAGCCUGGAUCUUCUGGCAAGGGUACUGUGCACAGUCAUGAGAAGCUGCUCACUGGUGGCUUGUUUUAUCCAGUUGUUGGAGGCUUAAAACAAUGAGCUUGCAAAUAUUUCAUUCCUCCCCCGCACUCUUGCUUGCUUCUUACUUCCUCUCUUUUCCUUCUCUCUCUUUUUCUUUAUUCUUGUAGAGAGAGAGAGAGGGGGGAGGUACAUGGGAGAUAGUGCUGUGUCUUGGAAUUAGGAGGGAUGAGGGAAAAGAGAUCAGAAGGGUGUUUUCUUUCCUGUUGUGAAUACACGUGCAUGUGAGCACGCUUGUGUGUGUGUUUCACACAUGCACUCUGCCAGCUGCCCAGCACCAUCACAACCUGCAACACGUUUGUUGCCCUGACACAGGCAGGAAAGCUCAGAGCAGGACCCCUUGUUACCACUGCUAGAAAGAUGCCCCAUGCUAAAGCCUCACAGCUGUCACAGUGUCGUCAGGACAGAGGCACAUUCCUCUGUGCUUUCACUCUGGCAGGCCCAGACAUGGAG